GUUCAAAGCUGGAAGAUGUGGGCUGCUAACUUUAAUCACAAGAUUUGAUUUGACCAGGGCAGUGACCAGUGCCUUUGCAAACAAAAAAUCAUUUGAUGACACCUAUAUGCCUCUUGUGAUUGAUUUGAACUCAAUAUCUUAUAUUUCCAAGUGAUCUUUUGUUCAGAGAAGAUGAAGAUUGUUAUACUACUUCUUGGUUGUGCUCUUUGCUUAUCAACAUGUUCUGGCCAAGAGCAAGAGGCUGUUCAGGAUGAUCAGCAAGCUGGUCAUGCAGAUGAAGCUAGUGGAAAUGUGGAAAAGGAAGCAGAUCAUGCCCCGCUCUCAGGUUUUACUGUGGAGGAUUCCAGCUGGAAGAUUGUCUGGCAUGGAAGCUCUGAUGUUGAUCUGCUGAAUGCCCCUGACAUGGAGUCAAUUUUGAUGCUGACCAAGGACAAUGAGCAGUACAACUGCCAAGUGGAGAGUGUGAAAAAGCCGAAUGAGGAGGAGGACGCGUCGUACGACGGCCCCAACCCUCUGCAGCUGAUGGAGCCUCUGUUCAACAAGCUGGCCUGCUCAUACAGGCUGGAGUCGUACUGGACGUACGAGGUGUGUCACGGCGACUACGUGCGCCAGUACCACGAGACCAAGGAGGGCAAGCAGACCAAGCUGAUCGAGUAUUACCUGGGCAGAUACAGCAAGGAGACGCUGCAGACAGAGGUGGAGGAGUGGGAUGCCGCCCUGAAGAGUGACCCGGCCUCUCGGCGACCCAGGACGCUAAGGCUGGAGGAGAUCGACCUCCCCUACCUGGAGGUAACAUACAGCGGCGGCACGGUGUGCGACCUGACGGGCCGCCCGCGCCAGACGCUGGUGCGGUACGUCUGCCACGCGGCCGGCCGGCACGAGGUGGUCUCCUUCCAGGAGACGUCCUCCUGCCAGUACGUCAUCGUGGUGCUGUCACCGCUGCUCUGCGCCCACCCAGACUACAGGGUGACGGCGGACGUGGAGCACCUGAUCCACUGUAUCGCCCUGUCCAACUCGCCCAAGCGGCCGCGCUCGCUGCUGGAGCUGGAGGCGCAGAGUCUGGCGCUGCGGCACGGUCUGCGGCCGGUGGACGGCGCGCCGGCCGCCGCCCCCGCCGCCGCCCCCGCCCCCGCCGAGGACGGGCCCGACCCGGAUACGACGCCUGCGGACGCCGAGCCGCCGCCGAUCACCACCGCCCGGCCGCUGGCCGUCUACGACGAGAAACUGGUCGAGGACUUCCUGGCCGGCCGGCACUGCCUCAACGGGGGCACCGGCUGGUGGCGCUACGAGUUCUGCCACGGCAAACGGGUCGACCAGUACCACGUGAACCGAGACGGCACGCGAACGGUCAUCCACCUGGGCUUCUUCAGCCGCGACGUGCACCGCGAGUGGCUGACGCACAACCCGCAGAAACGUCCGCGGCCGGCCGCCGGACGGCGACACGUCUCCCACUUCUACUCGGGCGGGUCCAUGUGUGACGAGAUCUCGGCGCCGCGCUCGGUCGAGGUGAAGCUCAAGUGUAAGCAGUCCGAGUCGCCGAACGCUGUAUCGCUGUACCUGCUGGAGCCGCGGCCGUGCCAGUACAUCCUGGGCGUGGAGUCGCCCAUCGUCUGCCGGCUGGUGGAGCAGGCCGACGACGACGGACUCAUAGACGAGUAGUGGCGGCGGACUCAUAGACGAGUAGUGGCGGUGGACUCAUAGACGAGUAGUGGCGGUGGACUCAUAGACGAGUAGUGGCGGCGGACUCAUAGACGAGUGAUAUCGGGGACCGAGUGAUAGGUAGGCGGUUGAAGCCCCGAGUCGAGAGACAGAGACCGGGCCGGGGUCGGCCAACAACAGCCUAUAAUGAGUUGGUAGCACUCGGGACAGCGAGAUAGGAUCAGGCUGACUCCAAACUACACGGGAUGGGACGACUCAGCUCCAGACUGACAGACGUCACAGCGUGCAGUGUGGUGCAGUGAGCUUAGCUGGGGCGGCUGACGGACCGUGUGGCGGCAGUGACUUCUGAAUUAUAGCUGAACUUUACGACGGUGGAACUCCGGCCUCAGUUGGAGCUCGAGUGGAGACUGAUCUAGUCUGGUUCGGUCUGCCUGGCUGGACGGCCGGGAGUCUCAGUCCAUCAACCUCUGCCUCCGAGACUGCCAGCGGCGGGAAGAUCUACCUGUUCUCAGACUGGUAGUGGCUCCAGUUAGCCGUAUCUACCGUGGCUGGCGCUGUGACUCCUGAGUCCUGAUCAUCGCACCUGUCGACCUCAUAGUCGAGGGGAGGCGCGCUAUCACGAGUGAUUUUGUCUGGGGUUGGGGCCCGGUCACUGAAUUUUAUUGUCCAUCGAUUGCCAGAGAUUCGGCAAUACCACGGGGUGAUGGCUCACAGCGUGAUUAUAUGGUUAUCGUGAACCCCGCGUGCCGAGUGGCUCCUUGUUGAUAUUGUUACAGCCUCGUUUGUGAGUGAUGGGUGUUUAUUGGUUUGUGUGUGGGACUGUGGGUGUUGCCGUCAUUUUGUUUGUGUGUGUGUGGGGGGGGGGGGGGGGGGGGGGUUGCAGUGAUGUGGAAUCCCAUGGUGUAAUUUUAUUCCAAUCACUGGUCUCGAACCCUCCUGCUGACAUCCUAUGUGACCAAGACCUCUUAAAUUAUUUUUGUUGUAGGAAUGUUGGUCAACUGUCAUUGUACUGUAUCAUAAUAAAACCGGUAUAUUCAACUCAACUGUGCAA
Molecule: unclassified non-coding RNA, 2710 nt
Filed under: Amphibalanus amphitrite
Lineage: Eukaryota; Metazoa; Arthropoda; Thecostraca; Balanomorpha; Balanidae
Description: endoplasmic reticulum lectin 1-like, transcript variant X4
Source: RNAcentral